Molecule: ribosomal RNA, 848 nt
Filed under: uncultured Psathyrella
Lineage: Eukaryota; Fungi; Basidiomycota; Agaricomycetes; Agaricales; Psathyrellaceae
Description: eukaryotic LSU rRNA
Rfam family: Eukaryotic large subunit ribosomal RNA (bases 251-848)
Source: RNAcentral
CGCACCUUGCGCUCCUUGGUAUUCCGAGGAGCAUGCCUGUUUGAGUGUCAUUAAAUUCUCAACUUCACCAAUUUUGUUGAUGAAGCUUGGAUGUGGGGGUCUGCAGAACCUGUUUUCACGGUGUACUGCUCCUCUGAAAUGAAUUAGCGAGUUCAAACUAGGCUCGGUCUAUUGGUGUGAUAAUUAUCUACGCCGUGGAUUGGGCUUAGACUUGCUUCUAACCGUCUGCAAAGACAAACUCUGACCAAUUUGACCUCAAAUCAGGUAGGACUACCCGCUGAACUUAAGCAUAUCAAUAAGCGGAGGAAAAGAAACUAACAAGGAUUCCCCUAGUAACUGCGAGUGAAGCGGGAAAAGCUCAAAUUUAAAAUCUGGUGGUCUUUGGCCAUCCGAGUUGUAAUCUAGAGAAGUGUUACCCGCGUCGGACCGUGUACAAGUCUCCUGGAAUGGAGCGUCAUAGAGGGUGAGAAUCCCGUCUUUGACACGGACUACCGAGGCUUUGUGGUGCACUCUCAAAGAGUCGAGUUGUUUGGGAAUGCAGCUCAAAAUGGGUGGUAAAUUCCAUCUAAAGCUAAAUAUUGGCGAGAGACCGAUAGCGAACAAGUACCGUGAGGGAAAGAUGAAAAGAACUUUGGAAAGAGAGUUAAACAGUACGUGAAAUUGCUGAAAGGGAAACGCUUGAAGUCAGUCGCGUUAGCCGGGAAUCAGCCUUGCUUCUGCUGGGUGUAUUUUCUGGUUGACGGGCCAGCAUCAGUUUUGACCGGUGGAAAAAGUCUAGAGGAAUGUGGCAUCUUCGGAUGUGUUAUAGCCUCUGGUCGUAUACAUCGAUUGGGACUGAGGAACUCAGC